Long non-coding RNA from Syngnathus acus (greater pipefish), 450 nucleotides. RefSeq lists it as uncharacterized. NCBI's taxonomy places the organism in Eukaryota, Metazoa, Chordata, Actinopteri, Syngnathiformes, Syngnathidae. The record is from RefSeq and is a predicted model, not a curated record. The transcript has 2 exons.
CAGCAGCACUUUGGUGUUAUUUACUUAUUUACUCAGCUCUAAGGCAACCUGAGAAGUGAGGCACUUUAAAUGCUCCUCAUUGCACACUUAUCUUUAUUCCAAUAAUUUUUUUUCUCCCAUUUUCUGACAGGAAGCAAGGAACAAAAUCGACUUCCCGGGUCAUGCAGCAAGGAACAAAAUCGGCUUCCUCGUCAUGCAGCUUGCAAUACUCGGUGCCAUAAACAACUCUACUUGCGCACUGGUCCAGGCAUGGAGUCCCACUGGCCGACCCCUCGUCCCGCUGGCCGACCCCUCGUCCCGCUGGCCGACCCCUCGUCCCGCUGGCCGACCCCUCGUCCCGCUGGCCGACCACUUCACCACUCGGCAAUGAGCAGACUGCCAUUCAACUUGUUACUUUGUUGUGAUUGAAUGUUUACUCUGCAAAAGAAAUAAAGCUUUAUUACAAAUAAU